GUGUUCUUCAGCAUUUCCAGAAAUUCAUGUCAGUUGACAAGUUAGCCACUUUGACCAUACUUUGAUCAGUGAUUAUAAGGUUUUAUAGGCAGUAUUAAGCAUCAAUCAUGUAGUAUAUAUGUAAUACUACACAUAUCAGUCAUCAACUAUGUUAUACAACAUCACACGUGGAAGAUCUGGGCCUCCAAAAUAUCUGACAACACUGUUCUUCAUUUUCUGGGUUUUCCAGAAAAUGAAGAACAGUCGAGGGUACUAGUUUUCGAUCCUUAUAACGUGAAUCCUAAAACUUGUUUUGGUGAACCAUUG
Molecule: long non-coding RNA, 306 nt
Filed under: Panax ginseng (ginseng)
Lineage: Eukaryota; Viridiplantae; Streptophyta; Magnoliopsida; Apiales; Araliaceae
Description: long non-coding RNA (PGIN_LNC006131)
Source: RNAcentral